CUACAUAAUGCCAAGUUUGGCUACGUAGUCAAAGUUGAUACACUAGUCGUGGUAAACUGAGGCAUAUUUGACUACAAAAGUUUGGCUACAGGAACAUAUAAAUUCUACCAUGUUAGUGUAGUCGAAUUUCAAGUACACGAGCGGCGAAAGUUUUUUUCAAUGGGGGUUUUAAACAAAUAAUUCUUUAUAGGUUAUUUAUAGGUUAUGUUUGUUACUGUAACUACAUGUAUGCUACUUUAAUGACAUCAGUAAUUACAUACGCCUCCAGUUUUAUACAAACUCGCCUUUUUCAAGACUCAUAUAGCUUGGAUCUACGAUCUUAUAAGAAGCCCUAAAUCAUGAAUUUGGAGAGAAAACUUGUUCACAAUGAACCUCGUAAUAUAAUUCGUAAAUUAGUCGAAUUAUUUGAUCGAUAAAAAGAAGCAGAUCGUUGGGAGUUUUAAACCUCGACUAUACGGAUGGAAGGGAAACUCCUCACAAGCAAUUGUUGGUUUUCGAUACAAAAAGUGUUAUGAAAAACGCAGGUUGUUAAUGGAAAGAAGUGGCAUCGUAACAUGGUGUUCUCGUUAUUUAACACUAAAAGAAAACGAACACCUGAAUGUGACAAAAGACCCGUUAUAUACUUGGACGAAACCUAUAUUCACCCAUCGUACGGAGGCUGGUCAGAGGUACAUCGUAGUAUGCUAGUAGUCGUUCUGGUUUUGUACAGGAUGUCGCACAGUAAAUCGGGGGAUUAUCACGACGAUAUGAAUCCUACCAACUUUAUGCAGUGGUUAGAGAAGCAGCUUAUACAAAAUUUACCAGCAAACUCAGUUGUGGUUAUGGAUAACGCACCUUACCGUAGUGUUCAAAUAAAUAAGCCGCCAACGAUGAAUAAUCGUAAGGAAGUGAUACGUUCUUGGUUAAGAAGCAAAUAACAUUCCUACGACAGAUCAAUUUAUUGACAAUGUACAUUGUACAAUUCGUUGUGUGUUAAUUUAGUCAAUGUGAGCGUUAUUAAUUUCAAUGUGAUUGUAAUAAUUUGAAAUAAAAUUAAUAAUUUUACUGUUUCCUCUUCCUCUUGAUGUUAUGCAACUCAUAUAGCACGGGCGUUAUGGCGUACUUGUUUAUAUCAAUUUUGCAUGAGAAUGUACAGUCUAAAUUUCUAGCCCCCUCGGGCUCGCCCUGUAAGGGACUUUCUGAACGUGGUGCCACUGUAGAUACUCAAUAAAAUUUGCAAAAAAAUUUUAGUCAUUUGGUGUAAAAUCUCCCAAUGGAUAGUCAUAUUUGAGUCCAUAACUUUUAUGCCCAAGGAAAUCGAUAGCAAACCGCCAAGUCAUUCCAGUAUAUUUGGUACCUACUUGACGAAUCAUGAACCGAGGCUCAUUAGUGAUAUUUAUGAAGGGUUAUACAGAAUGUAGUAGGUUGUACAUCAAUAAUUUAUUCUAAAUAACCUUUUUCGUUCCCCAUUCCCAUUUGAAGCGCUUUAGGUGAACAAAGGCAAC
Molecule: long non-coding RNA, 1484 nt
Organism: Photinus pyralis (common eastern firefly)
Lineage: Eukaryota; Metazoa; Arthropoda; Insecta; Coleoptera; Lampyridae
Exons: 3
Source: RefSeq, a predicted model, not a curated record